ACCUUUGGCUUGUGUGAAUAACCCAAGUCAGGGAGUUGCCGGUGGUAAGACCAUCUACCAAAACUUGAUUAAAAUACUUUGUCUGAAUCUUUUGCUUCAAUGAAAUAAAACUUUCAACAACGGAUCUCUAGGCUCUUGCAUCGAUGAAGAACGCAGUGAAAUGCGAUAAGUAAUGUGAAUUGCAGAAUCUCGUGAAUCAUCGAAUCUUUGAACGCACAUUGCGCCCUAUGGUAUUCCGUAGGGCAUGCCUGUCUGAGCGUCAGCUCCCACCCACUCAAGUAUCUUUUUUGGGGGAUUCUUGGAAUGAUUUGGAGAGGUGUCUUGUCAUAGAGACGUCCUUCAGAAAUUCAUAGGCAGUAUGGUUUGCACCUGAACCAGACGUAAUAAUAAUAAAAUCGUUUCUUUGGGAAUAAUUGUGCUUGCCUUAACCCACCCAUUUCUCUCAUUUGGGUGACCUCAGAUCAGGUAGGGAUACCCGCUGAACUU
RNAcentral lists this ribosomal RNA (486 nucleotides) under uncultured fungus. RNAcentral describes it as "eukaryotic LSU rRNA". The stretch from base 109 to 262 matches the Rfam family "5.8S ribosomal RNA". Lineage: Eukaryota; Fungi. The record is from RNAcentral.